This 253-nucleotide ribosomal RNA is filed under the name uncultured bacterium. RNAcentral describes it as "partial 16S ribosomal RNA". It matches the Rfam family "Bacterial small subunit ribosomal RNA", at positions 524 to 776 of the family's 1533-position model. The record is from RNAcentral.
UACGAGAGGCCCAAACGUUAUUCGGAAUUACUGGGCUUAAAGAGUUCGUAGGCGGCGCAGAAAGUAGGGUGUGAAAGCCCUCGGCUCAACCGAGGAAUUGCGCUCUAAACUACUGUGCUUGAGGGACCUAGAGGCGAGCGGAACUGAUGGUGGAGCGGUGAAAUGCGUUGAUAUCAUCAGGAACACCGGAGGCGAAGGCGGCUCACUGGGGGUCUUCUGACGCUGAGGAACGAAAGCCAGGGGAGCGAACGGG